AACGAACGCUGGCGGCGUGCCUAACACAUGCAAGUCGUGCGAGAAAGUUCCUUCGGGAGCGAGUAAAGCGGCGCACGGGUGAGUAACACGUAGGUAACCUGCCCCCCAGUCUGGAACAACUAGAGGAAACUCUAGCUAAUGCCGGAUGAGACCACGAUCCCUUCGGGGGUUGCGGCCAAAGAUGGCCUCUACUUGUAAGCUAUCGCUGAGGGAUGGGCCUGCGGGCCAUUAGCUUGUUGGUGAGGUAACGGCUCACCAAGGCUGUGAUGGCUAGCCGGUCUGAGAGGAUGACCAGCCACACUGGGACUGAGACACGGCCCAGACUCCUACGGGAGGCAGCAGUGGGGAAUAUUGCGCAAUGGGCGAAAGCCUGACGCAGCGACGCCGCGUGGGUGAUGAAGGCC
RNAcentral lists this ribosomal RNA (404 nucleotides) under uncultured bacterium. RNAcentral's name for it is "bacterial SSU rRNA". It matches the Rfam family "Bacterial small subunit ribosomal RNA", at positions 29 to 416 of the family's 1533-position model. The record is from RNAcentral.